This 304-nucleotide ribosomal RNA is filed under the name uncultured bacterium. RNAcentral's name for it is "bacterial SSU rRNA". It matches the Rfam family "Bacterial small subunit ribosomal RNA", at positions 30 to 342 of the family's 1533-position model. The record is from RNAcentral.
CCUGAACGCUGGCGGCGUGGCUAAGACAUGCAAGUCGCACGGUGUAGCAAUACACAGUGGCGAACGGGUGAGUAAUGAAUCGCUAAUGUACCCUGGACUCUGGGAUAGCCGGCCGAAAGGCCGGGUAAUACCAGAUGAGACCACAAGCAGGCAUCUGCUGGUGCUCAAAGGUCCGCCGGUCUGGGAGCAGGCGAUUUCGUAUCAGCUAGUUGGUGAGGUAACGGCUCACCAAGGCGACGACGCGUAGCCGGACUGAGAGGUUGGCCGGCCACAUCGGGACUGAGACACUGCCCGGACUCCGUAC